RNAcentral lists this ribosomal RNA (753 nucleotides) under Agrobacterium tumefaciens. Its description in RNAcentral is "bacterial SSU rRNA". It matches the Rfam family "Bacterial small subunit ribosomal RNA", at positions 125 to 912 of the family's 1533-position model. Lineage: Bacteria; Pseudomonadati; Pseudomonadota; Alphaproteobacteria; Hyphomicrobiales; Rhizobiaceae. The record is from RNAcentral.
CAUACCCUUUCCUGCGGAAUAGCUCCGGGAAACUGGAAUUAAUACCGCAUACGCCCUACGGGGGAAAGAUUUAUCGGGGAAGGAUUGGCCCGCGUUGGAUUAGCUAGUUGGUGGGGUAAAGGCCUACCAAGGCGACGAUCCAUAGCUGGUCUGAGAGGAUGAUCAGCCACAUUGGGACUGAGACACGGCCCAAACUCCUACGGGAGGCAGCAGUGGGGAAUAUUGGACAAUGGGCGCAAGCCUGAUCCAGCCAUGCCGCGUGAGUGAUGAAGGCCUUAGGGUUGUAAAGCUCUUUCACCGAUGAAGAUAAUGACGGUAGUCGGAUAAGAAGCCCCGGCUAACUUCGUGCCACCAGCCGCGGUAAUACUAAGGGGGCUAGCGUUGUUCGGAAUUACUGGGCGUAAAGCGCACGUAGGCCGAUAUUUAAGUCAGGGGUGAAAUCCCGCAUCUCAACUGCGGAACUGCCUUUGAUACUGGGUAUCUGGAGUAUGGAACAGGUAAGUGGAAUUCCGAGUGUAGAGGUGAAAUUCGUAGAUAUUCGGAGGAACACCAUUGGCUAAGGCGGCUUACUGGUCCAUUACUGACGCUUAGGUGCGAAAGCGUGGGGAGAAAACAGGAUUAGAUACCCUGGUAGUCCACGCCUAAACGAUGAAUGUUAGCCGUCUGGCAGUAUACUGUUCGGUGGCUCAGCUCACGCAUUACACAUUCCCGCCUGGGGAGUACCGUCGCAAGAAUUAAAACUCAAAGGAAUUG